RNAcentral lists this long non-coding RNA (338 nucleotides) under Nicotiana tabacum (common tobacco). RNAcentral's name for it is "long non-coding RNA (NTAB_LNC016859)". Lineage: Eukaryota; Viridiplantae; Streptophyta; Magnoliopsida; Solanales; Solanaceae. The record is from RNAcentral.
AAAACCAGUUGACAAUCCAAUGGCCAGUGAAGUUGAAAAUCUGGAAAUGUCCUCUUUAAAGACCACACCAAACCAACCCAUCAAGAACGAACCGACCUUUAGCAGCCAAAAGAAAAUUGUAUGAGGUCAAUAUAACAAAAUACAAUUCUGGUUUGAGCUUCUAAAGAAAAUUGUAUGAGGUCAAUAUAACAAAAUACAAUUCUGGUUUGAGCUUUUAUUAACUCACGACCUUGCUGAUCAAGGAUAUAUGGAAUUUCAGUUACAUAUGAAUAUUCACAUAUGAAAACUACAAGAACUGAGUAUAGUACUAACUAUGUCUUUCACAAUGUCUUAUUCUG